GUUUCUAUGUUUGAAAAACCUACAUAAAUGUGAGGAUUGAGGACUUUGAAGUCAUCUUCAAAUUAACUUUUUAAUAAAGUACUAAUUUAAGAAUAUUAUAUUAAAUGAGAUUGGGUAAGAAUAUUCCUUCUUAUAACAGUAAUAAUAAUAAUUUAAUUAUAUAAAAUUAAAGAAAUGAUGGGUAAAAAUUAUACUCACUACAUUUUAAAUGAAUUGGAUGGAGUCUCAAAAAUGCUCAUGCAAAACAAACAUGUACCGGAAAGAAAAUGACAAUUUUCGGGGCAUUUUAGACAUUUUAAGUUAGUGUAAGGGUUGUCCUUAAUUUUUUUUCCCAAAAUAACAUGAUAGCCCCAGCCUUGAGGUGUGUAUAAAUUAAUAAUAUAAACAAGGGAUAUGGCCAACUAGCUUUUUUUUUUCUCUCCAACUCCAUACUCUCUCUAUUCUCAUGGGAAGAUCUCCUUGCUGUGAUGAGAAUGACCUCAAGAGGGGCCCUUGGACUCCUGAAGAAGAUCAAAAGUUGGUUCAUUACAUCCAGAAGCAUGGCCAUGCCAGCUGGAGAGCUCUUCCUAAGCUUGCUGGAUUUAAUAUAUGUGGGAAGAGUUGUAGGUUAAGAUAGACCAACUACUUGAGGUCAGAUAUCAAGAGGGGCAAGUUUUUACCUGAAGAGGUACAAGCUAUCCUCAACCUCCACUCUAUCCUUGGCAACAACUAACUAAUCUUUACCAUGCAUAGCCUUUUAUUAUUAUUUUAGAUAUAUAGUAAACAUAAUUAGAACAUGAUAAUUUCUUCUUUUAUUCAUUUUCUAUGUAAAUUUGAAAUCAUUACAUGUUAGGGAUUUCGAAGGUGUUUUUGUAGUUUAAAAUCAAUCACAAUUUCUAGCUACAU
Long non-coding RNA from Dendrobium catenatum, 885 nucleotides. RefSeq lists it as uncharacterized. The transcript has 2 exons. The record is from RefSeq and is a predicted model, not a curated record. NCBI's taxonomy places the organism in Eukaryota, Viridiplantae, Streptophyta, Magnoliopsida, Asparagales, Orchidaceae.